CAGCCGUAAACAAUGUGCGUUAGGUGUGUCGGUAACCACGCGUUACUGAUGCGCCGAAGAGAAAUCGUGAAACGCACCACCUGGGAAGUACGGUCGCAAGGCUGAAACUUAAAGGAAUUGGCGGGGGAGCACCACAACAGGUGGAGCCUGCGGUUUAAUUGGACUCAACGCCGGGAAGCUCACCGGAUAGGACAGCAGAAUGAUUGCCGGGCUGAAGACCCUGCAUGACUAGCUGAGAGGUGGUGCAUGGCGUCAGUGACU
RNAcentral lists this ribosomal RNA (261 nucleotides) under uncultured archaeon. RNAcentral describes it as "partial 16S ribosomal RNA". It matches the Rfam family "Archaeal small subunit ribosomal RNA", at positions 748 to 1008 of the family's 1478-position model. The record is from RNAcentral.